Scophthalmus maximus (turbot) is the source of this 1798-nucleotide long non-coding RNA. RefSeq lists it as uncharacterized. NCBI's taxonomy places the organism in Eukaryota, Metazoa, Chordata, Actinopteri, Pleuronectiformes, Scophthalmidae. The transcript has 3 exons. The record is from RefSeq and is a predicted model, not a curated record.
CAGAUGUUGGCGACUGUGUCAUUAAUUCCAAAAGACCGGCAGCAUUUGCACAAGUCUCCAUUUUAGGGCCUUGAAAACUCCAGAGUAGUAUGGACGCCAGCUGAUUUACAGCGAACAAAGCGCAAAAGGUCGCGUCACUCUCAUGGGAACAAGCUCUCACCUGCAGACGAGCGUGGCGAUGAUGACGCACCAGGCCGUGCAGCAGCAGUCGGCGCUGGGCUGCUGCGCGUGCGUGUGGGAGUGCGAGGAGUCGUCACUCUUGCGUCGCCGGCAGCAGAGCCAGAACGAGUAGAAGAGGAGGAAGAGGAGGUCCAGGGCCAAGCACAGCAACGCCACAGAGCCGAGCAGCAACACGGACUGAAGAGGAGAGGAAGAAAGAAACAAUUAGUUGCAAUAAGAGGUUCAAGACCACGAGUGGAGGAUGGGAGGGGAGGAUCCCGGUGGCAGAGGAGGGAGAGAUAAGCUCUGCAGAAUCCUAGUCCCUGGUAUUAUCCUCCUGUCAUUAUCUUUGAGGCUUAACUGGAGACAGAGACGUCUCUGCCCUGUGUGCUCCUCUAAUGCAUUGUUUGAUCUCUUGUGACUUUAGACCAUGUACCAUUAAACGCAUAAGGCUUUGCAGAAGCUCACGCUACAGUAUUUAACGAUGGAUGUUUUCGUGGCAUCUAGUAUAAAUCACGCUAUAGGACUGACAAUGGGAUGACAUAGAUACUGUGGAAGGUGGAGGGAUGAAAGACUGGGAGACAAAGUGUCCGCCUCUUAAAUGUGAUGAUUCGCUUCUUUCUUUUUUGGUCAUACACACUUGAUAGAAACAGGGAAUCUGAAUGUCAUACCCUUUGGCUCCAAAGAACGCGAUAUCUUGGUUAUUUUCCAAAAUGUUAUGGAAAAGAAAAGGUGUACAAUCAAGAAAGUAAUCAGUGGAUUAUCCAACAAUGAAAAUAAUUGUUGGUUGCAGGCUUAUUAAUGUUCUUAAGAUUGUUAAUAAUGAUAAUAAAAAAUGUCAUUAUUCGAGUAAUUGUUUGGUCCAAAUCUCAAUUUCAAAAAGCCCAAGGUGACGUCCUCUAAUUACCUGUUUUUGAUUUGCAAACUGCAAUUAUAUAAAACAAAGGAAAGCAUUUAAAAGCAGCACUCGCUUUACUGAACAAAUUGGACAAAACUGAUUCCUAUAGUCAAGUUAAAUUGUCUGAGCGGUUUAUUUUUAUAAGUCAAUAUUCUCUGAUUUCAGCUUCGUAAAUGUGAAUACUCUCCGGUUUCUUUGCUCCUCUAUGACAGUAAACUAAAUAUCUUUGGUGUGCUAACAAAACAAAACAUCGUCUUGGAGUUUGGGAAACACGAUCGACAUUUUUCACCAUUUUAUGGACCAAACAACUAAUCGUUCAAUGGAGAAAAUAUCGAAAGAUUGAUGGAUGAUGAAAAUAACCAUUGGUUGCAUCCAAAGAGAGAAUUAAAGUCUUUAGGGAAAAAAAAUACUGAAUACAGUAUCCUUGAGUGAAGCGCAUGGUGCUACAAUGCACAUUUUUAACCAAGUGGUCAUUUGAAUAUAAUGUUGAAAGAACAUGUAAAGAUGUGUGGCAUUCAUUUCGUUUUUGGCGUGUUGAGCAGACUGGAACAUGGGGCCAAAGGCAGGGGGUUGCAGUUGUGUCCUGCACUUUUAAAAAUGGCUGCUCUACCCCUGACGAUGGCCGCAAGGUUAACCGUCAGCCUGACAAACCAUCAGAUUAAGUGUGGCUCAAUUAGCUACUAAUAAGCAUGGUGAGCUCGGCUGUGCAUGUGUGUCUGCGUACUUAGAUGUUAGUGUGCG